RNAcentral lists this unclassified non-coding RNA (315 nucleotides) under plant metagenome. RNAcentral's name for it is "partial contains 5.8S ribosomal RNA, internal transcribed spacer 2, and large subunit ribosomal RNA". The stretch from base 1 to 105 matches the Rfam family "5.8S ribosomal RNA", at positions 50 to 154 of the family's 154-position model. The record is from RNAcentral.
AAAAUGCGAUAAGUAAUGUGAAUUGCAGAAUUCAGUGAAUCAUCGAAUCUUUGAACGCACAUUGCGCCCGCCAGUAUUCUGGCGGGCAUGCCUGUUCGAGCGUCAUUUCAACCCUCAAGCCCCCGGGUUUGGUGUUGGGGAUCGGGCUGCGGUUCUACCGCGUCCCGGCCCCGAAAUCUAGUGGCGGUCUCGCUGCAGCCUCCAUUGCGUAGUAGCUAACACCUCGCAACUGGAACGCGGCGUGGCCAAGCCGUUAAACCCCCAACUUCUGAAUGUUGACCUCGGAUCAGGUAGGAAUACCCGCUGAACUUAAGC